RNAcentral lists this ribosomal RNA (478 nucleotides) under uncultured bacterium. RNAcentral's name for it is "partial 16S ribosomal RNA". It matches the Rfam family "Bacterial small subunit ribosomal RNA", at positions 28 to 523 of the family's 1533-position model. The record is from RNAcentral.
GACGAACGCUGGCGGCAUGCCUAACACAUGCAAGUCGAGCGAGCUGAUCCCUUCGGGGUGAAGCUAGCGGCGGACGGGUGAGUAACACGUGGGCAACCUGCCUCAUAGAGGGGAAUAGCCUUCCGAAAGGAAGAUUAAUACCGCAUAAGACUGUAGCUUCGCAUGAAGCAGCAAUUAAAGGAGCAAUCCGCUAUGAGAUGGGCCCGCGGCGCAUUAGCUAGUUGGUGAGGUAACGGCUCACCAAGGCGACGAUGCGUAGCCGACCUGAGAGGGUGAUCGGCCACAUUGGGACUGAGACACGGCCCAGACUCCUACGGGAGGCAGCAGUGGGGAAUAUUGCACAAUGGGGGAAACCCUGAUGCAGCAAUGCCGCGUGAGUGAUGACGGCCUUCGGGUCGUAAAGCUCUGUCUUCGGGGACGAUAAUGACGGUACCCGAGGAGGAAGCCACGGCUAACUACGUGCCAGCAGCCGCAGUAA